Molecule: ribosomal RNA, 410 nt
Filed under: uncultured bacterium
Lineage: Bacteria
Description: bacterial SSU rRNA
Rfam family: Bacterial small subunit ribosomal RNA
Source: RNAcentral
AGGGAAUAUUGCGCAAUGGAGGAAACUCUGACGCAGCGACGCCGCGUGAGCGAUGAAGGUUUUCGGAUCGUAAAGCUCUGUCCUUGGGGAAGAAGGUCUUCGGACUUGACGGUACCCAAGAAGAAAGCCCCGGCUAACUACGUGCCAGCAGCCGCGGUAACACGUAGGGGGCAAGCGUUGUCCGGAAUUAUUGGGCGUAAAGGGUGCGUAGGCGGCCUUUUAAGUCAGAUGUGAAAGCCCGCGGCUUAACUGCGGGAUUGCAUUUGAAACUGGGAGGCUUGAGUAUCGGAGAGGGUAGUGGAAUUCCCAGUGUAGCGGUGAAAUGCGUAGAUAUUGGGAGGAACACCAGUGGCGAAGGCGACUGCCUGGACGAAAACUGACGCUGAGGCACGAAAGCUAGGGGAGCAAAC